UGGGGAAUUUUGGACAAUGGGCGAAAGCCUGAUCCAGCAAUGCCGCGUGUGUGAAGAAGGCCUUCGGGUUGUAAAGCACUUUUGUCCGGAAAGAAAUCCUUGGCUCUAAUACAGUCGGGGGAUGACGGUACCGGAAGAAUAAGCACCGGCUAACUACGUGCCAGCAGCCGCGGUAAUACGUAGGGUGCAAGCGUUAAUCGGAAUUACUGGGCGUAAAGCGUGCGCAGGCGGUUUGCUAAGACCGAUGUGAAAUCCCCGGGCUCAACCUGGGAACUGCAUUGGUGACUGGCAGGCUAGAGUAUGGCAGAGGGGGGUAGAAUUCCACGUGUAGCAGUGAAAUGCGUAGAGAUGUGGAGGAAUACCGAUGGCGAAGGCAGCCCCCUGGGCCAAGUACUGACGCUCAUGCACGAAAAGCGUGGGGGAGCAAAACAGGAUUAGAUGCCCUGGUAGUCCACGCCCUAAAACGAUGUCAACUAGUUGUUGGGGAUUCAUUUCCUUAGUAACGUAGCUAACGCGUGAAGUUGACCGCCUGGGGAGUACGGUCGCAAGAUUAAAACUCAAAUGAAUUGACGGGGUCAUAGCUGUUUCCU
This 590-nucleotide ribosomal RNA is filed under the name uncultured bacterium. Its description in RNAcentral is "partial 16S ribosomal RNA". It matches the Rfam family "Bacterial small subunit ribosomal RNA", at positions 355 to 1375 of the family's 1533-position model. The record is from RNAcentral.